RNAcentral lists this ribosomal RNA (475 nucleotides) under uncultured bacterium. RNAcentral describes it as "bacterial SSU rRNA". It matches the Rfam family "Bacterial small subunit ribosomal RNA", at positions 335 to 802 of the family's 1533-position model. The record is from RNAcentral.
ACUCCUACGGGGAGGCAGCAGGUGGGAAUAUUGCACGAAUGGCGCAAGCCUGAUGCAGCCAUGCCGCGUGUGUGAAGAAGGCCUUCGGGUUGUAAAGCACUUUCAGUCGUGAGGAAGGUAGUGUAGUUAAUAGCUGCAUUAUUUGACGUUAGCGACAGAAGAAGCACCGGCUAACUCCGUGCCAGCAGCCGCGGUAAUACGGAGGGUGCGAGCGUUAAUCGGAAUUACUGGGCGUAAAGCGCAUGCAGGUGGUUUGUUAAGUCAGAUGUGAAAGCCCGGGGCUCAACCUCGGAAUUGCAUUUGAAACUGGCAGACUAGAGUACUGUAGAGGGGGGUAGAAUUUCAGGUGUAGCGGUGAAAUGCGUAGAGAUCUGAAGGAAUACCGGUGGCGAAGGCGGCCCCCUGGACAGAUACUGACACUCAGAUGCGAAAGCGUGGGGAGCAAACAGGAUUAGAUACCCUGGUAGCUACGAGU